Molecule: ribosomal RNA, 253 nt
Filed under: uncultured bacterium
Lineage: Bacteria
Description: partial 16S ribosomal RNA
Rfam family: Bacterial small subunit ribosomal RNA
Source: RNAcentral
UACAGAGGUCCCAAGCGUUGUUCGGAUUCACUGGGCGUAAAGGGUGCGUAGGUGGCCAGGUAAGUUUGGUGUGAAAGCUCGGAGCUUAACUCCGAAAAGUCAUUGAAUACUAUCUGGCUGGAGGGUCGGAGGGGAGACUGGAAUUCCCGGUGUAGCAGUGAAAUGCGUAGAUAUCGAGAGGAACACCAGUGGCGAAGGCGAGUCUCUGGACGACUCCUGACACUGAGGCACGAAAGCGUGGGGAGCGAACAGG